Molecule: long non-coding RNA, 313 nt
Organism: Astatotilapia calliptera (eastern happy)
Lineage: Eukaryota; Metazoa; Chordata; Actinopteri; Cichliformes; Cichlidae
Source: Ensembl
GGAACGGGACUAAGCGGAGGAUCCAUCAGGUGCAUUUUCCCUCUUUGAGGAGCAGUGAUAUGGACACCAGGUGUGGUGACGCUAAGGUUGGUGCACAUGCACAGACGCGCUCACACACAAACCAAAUCAUCCCAAGUCAACUACUCGAGUCAACCUUGUUCUGGUGUUGAGAGUGCAUGAGAAUACAUACGAGCCACUCACCCAGCUUUGAGGUCACUGCCCCAAGUGCUCAGAUUACCACAGACACCACCGGUCACUUCACCUUCUACUUCUUGUCAAGCUCCUCUCUCAACCACUCUAGGGGGCAUUUCCC